Molecule: ribosomal RNA, 481 nt
Filed under: uncultured bacterium
Lineage: Bacteria
Description: bacterial SSU rRNA
Rfam family: Bacterial small subunit ribosomal RNA
Source: RNAcentral
AAAUGAAUUGACGGGGACCCGCACAAGCGGUGGAGCGCGAGGCUUAAUUCGUCGCUAAACGAAAAACCUUACCGAGGCUAGAAAUCCAGCUGCACGCCCUGGGAAACCAGGGAAGCUUUCGAAGGUGCUGGACAGGUGAUGCAUGGCUGUCGUCAGUUCGUGGCUUGAGCUGUUCCCUUAAGUGGGGAAACGAACGCAACCCUCGUUGCCUGUUAUAAGUGUCAGGCGAGACUGCUCCCUCACGGGAGAGGAAGGUGAGGAUGACGCCAAGUCAGCAUGUCCCUUGAUGCCUCGGGCUGCACUCACGCUACAAUGGUACGCACAACAGGACGCAAUACCGUAAGGUGGAGCCAAUCCUUAUAAAACGUGCCCCAGUUCGGAUUGAGGUCUGCAACUCGACCUCAUGAAGUCGGAAUCGCUAGUAAUCGCGGAUCAGCAUGCCGCGGUGAAUACGUUCUCGGGUCUUGUACACACCGCCCGU